RNAcentral lists this ribosomal RNA (498 nucleotides) under uncultured bacterium. RNAcentral's name for it is "partial 16S ribosomal RNA". It matches the Rfam family "Bacterial small subunit ribosomal RNA", at positions 28 to 507 of the family's 1533-position model. The record is from RNAcentral.
GACGAACGCUGGCGGCGUGCCUAAUACAUGCAAGUCGAACGAGAGCGCCCGGUGCUUGCCCUGGUCAAUCUAGUGGCGAACGGGUGAGUAACACGUGGGUAACCUGCCCAUCAGAGGGGGAUAACAUCCGGAAACGGAUGCUAAAACCGCAUAGGUCUUCGAACCGCAUGGUUUGAAGAGGAAAAGAGGCGCAAGCUUCUGCUGAUGGAUGGACCCGCGGUGCAUUAGCUAGUUGGUGAGGUAACGGCUCACCAAGGCCGUGAUGCAUAGCCGACCUGAGAGGGUGAUCGGCAACAUUGGGACUGAGACACGGCCCAAACUCCUACGGGAGGCAGCAGUAGGGAAUCUUCCGCAAUGGACGCAAGUCUGACGGAGCAACGCCGCGUGAGUGAAGAAGGUGUUCGGAUCGUAAAACUCUGUUGUUAGAGAAGAACAAGUGCUAGAGUAACUGUUAGCGCCUUGACGGUAGCUAACCAGAAAGCCACGGCUAACUACGUG